Molecule: long non-coding RNA, 1225 nt
Organism: Monodelphis domestica (gray short-tailed opossum)
Lineage: Eukaryota; Metazoa; Chordata; Mammalia; Didelphimorphia; Didelphidae
Source: RefSeq, a predicted model, not a curated record
CAGACCAUCUGCCUUGCCUUGACCUUUGACAUGUAGGGCCUCCAGCUUCCGGUCUGCCUGUUUGGUUUCUGACCUCUCACUUGAUCCCAUCUCUGGUGUCCAUACUUGUCCUGAUUUCUGACUCCCUUCCGGGUGUCCAGUCUGCAGCUUUAUCCUAACUGUAGUGCGGUCCUCGCCGAGCUCCUGGUUUCCUUGUUACUUCCUGCGAUGAGACUGAAGACUUGGGGCACUUAGGGAGAAAAGCCCCAGUUCUCCCCAGGUGGAUAAUCACUGGAGUGGCUGUGAUUGGAAGCUACCUCCUACCUGUUUUUGACUGGCUCUGAUGAAAGAUUGGAAGAAAUGAGCCUCCAAAUGAACAGAGAAAGGUGAGCCUAUUAAUUUUCUGCAUAUCCUGGCUCAAGAAGAUGAUAUUGACAAUGACAAUGAGGAUGGUGAAAGUGAUGAGGAUAAUGGGGAUAAUGGUGGUGUGCGGCAGGUGGAGCUAGUCCUUGGCAAACUUGUGAAAGAGAUGGUUUAUCCUUGGCACUUCCCACCAUUGUUUCUCUAUGUGAUGGAAGCAACAUGAAAUUGUGAGCUGAUCACUGAGGGUAAAAGUCGGGAGUCUAGCUACUAGUCCUUGUCCUGCAUCCAAUGAACUAGCUACAUGAUCUUAGGUACCUGAUGGCCUCAGAGAGCUCUUGGAGUCUAGCCACACCAUUUUCUGAUCAAAUUAUCAUCACCAAAGGCUCCUGGUUCAGUAUAAUAUUUAGUAGUGUGACUUUGGGUAAAUUACCUAACUUCUUUGGGCCUCAGUUUACUCAUCUAUAAAAUUAGAGGGAUUAGAUUAGAUGGUGUUUAGGGUCUCUCUCAGCUCUUGAACCAUGAUGAUCAGUGAUCUCAUGAAUAUAGUCUUCUCAUCAUGACUGCCCCAACCCCAUUUCAUUCCUUGUAGAGCUAUAGUCCUAUCUACCAAUCCUAGAUGACCUCCAUCAUGAAGCAGAAAUUCAACAGGGAAUCUUAGAAUAGUUGAAUGUUCCAUCUGAAAGGUAGCUCAGACUCUUUCAUUUCACAAAGGAAGAUAUCUUGAUCCAUGUAAGGGAAAUAACUUGCCCAAGGUCAUUCAAUGAGUGGCAGAGCUCUUACAGAACCCAGGUCUCCAUGUUUAGCAUUUCUUCCAAAAUAAACUCUGUUCCUAAGUGGCCCUCCACCAACAAAGCCCAGCUGCCUACCUGAAAUCCUCCUCUAU